RNAcentral lists this ribosomal RNA (443 nucleotides) under uncultured bacterium. RNAcentral's name for it is "partial 16S ribosomal RNA". It matches the Rfam family "Bacterial small subunit ribosomal RNA", at positions 338 to 795 of the family's 1533-position model. The record is from RNAcentral.
CCUACGGGGGGCAGCAGUGGGGAAUAUUGGGCAAUGGGCGCAAGCCUGACCCAGCAACGCCGCGUGAAGGAAGAAGGCUUUCGGGUUGUAAACUUCUUUUGUCAGGGACGAAGCAAGUGACGGUACCUGACGAAUAAGCGACGGCUAACUACGUGCCAGCAGCCGCGGUAAGACGGAGGGAGCAAGCGUUAUCCGGAUUUAAUGGGUGUAAAGGGAGUGUAGGCGGGGAAGCAAGUCAGAUGUGAAAACCACGGGCUCAACCUGUGGUCUGCAUUUGAAACUGUUUUUCUUGAGUGCUGGGGAGGCAAGCGGAAUUCCGUGUGUAGCGGUGAAAUGCGUAGAUAUACGGAGGAACACCAGUGGCGAAGGCGGAUUGCUGGACAGUAACUGACGCUGAGGCGCGAAAGCGUGGGGAGCAAACAGGAUUAGAUACCCUAGUAGUC